AGUGAACGCUGGCGGUAGGCCUAACACAUGCAAGUCGAACGGCAGCACAGUAAUAGCUUGCUCUUACGGGUGGCGAGUGGCGGACGGGGGAGGAAUACAUCGGAAUCUACUUUUUCGUGGGGGAGAACGUAGGGAAACUUACGCUAAUACCGCAUACGACCUACGGGUGAAAUCAUGGGAUCUUCGGACCUUGCGCGAUUGUAUGAGCCGAUGUCGGAUUAGCUAGUUGGCGGGGUAAAGGCCCACCAAGGCGACGAUCCGUAGCUGGUCUGAGAGGAUGAUCAGCCACACUGGAACUGAGACACGGUCCAGACUCCUACGGGAGGCAGCAGUGGGGAAUAUUGGACAAUGGGCGCAAGCCUGAUCCAGCCAUACCGCGUGGGUGAAGAAGGCCUUCGGGUUGUAAAGCCCUUUUGUUGGGAAAGAAAAGCAGCAGGUUAAUACCCCGCUGUUCUGACGGUACCAAAAGAAUAAGCACCGGCUAACUUCGUG
This 492-nucleotide ribosomal RNA is filed under the name uncultured bacterium. RNAcentral's name for it is "partial 16S ribosomal RNA". It matches the Rfam family "Bacterial small subunit ribosomal RNA", at positions 29 to 507 of the family's 1533-position model. The record is from RNAcentral.